GAUGAACGCUGGCGGCGUGCUUAACACAUGCAAGUCGAACGGAAAGGCUCCUGCUUGCAGGGGUACUCGAGUGGCGAACGGGUGAGUAACACGUGGGUGAUCUGCCCUGCACUUCGGGAUAAGCCUGGGAAACUGGGUCUAAUACCGGAUAGGACCACAUUUUGGAUGGUGUGGUGGAAAGUUUUUCGGUGUGGGAUGAGCUCGCGGCCUAUCAGCUUGUUGGUGGGGUAAUGGCCUACCAAGGCGUCGACGGGUAGCCGGCCUGAGAGGGUGUACGGCCACAUUGGGACGGAGAUACGGCCCAGACUCCUACGGGAGGCAGCAGUGGGGAAUAUUGCACAAUGGGCGCAAGCCUGAUGCAGCGACGCCGCGUGGGGGAUGACGGCCUUCGGGUUGUAAACUCCUUUCGCUAGGGACGAAGCGUUUUUGUGACGGUACCUGGAGAAGAAGCACCGGCUAACUACGUG
RNAcentral lists this ribosomal RNA (467 nucleotides) under uncultured bacterium. RNAcentral describes it as "partial 16S ribosomal RNA". It matches the Rfam family "Bacterial small subunit ribosomal RNA", at positions 28 to 507 of the family's 1533-position model. The record is from RNAcentral.